This is a long non-coding RNA of Pan troglodytes (chimpanzee), 3079 nucleotides long. The record is from Ensembl. Lineage: Eukaryota; Metazoa; Chordata; Mammalia; Primates; Hominidae.
AUGGACAUGACCAAAAGAAGCUUACUUUAUUUUCAACCCUACAACCAUACUGAGAAUUUAGCCCUGGGGACAUCUUCCGAUAUAAUCUGGCAUAGAAGAGUGGUUAUCACACCUUUAGCAUGGAUAGAAAUGCAAAACAAUAUUUGUAAUAGUCUGUGCUCACGCUGCUAUAAGGACAUACCCAAGACUAGCUCCCCACUCCCAUCUCCAGCCUGGGUGAUAGAGCAAGACCCUGUCUCUAAAAAGAACAAAAAACAAAAGGUAACAUUCCAUUAUUCCAUGAAGUUAAUAAUGAAAUACAUUUCUGGUUUUAUGUUGAUUUUGUAUGUGUUUUCUAAUUCAUUUAAUAUUGAUUUUAAUAUUUGAACCCUUAAUUGGAAACACACUUCCAAGUUUUUAGAGAACAUCUAACUGCCUUGCAGUAUAUUACAAGUUAGGAGUGUUCAGCAUACCUGAAGUACAGAAUACUUACAGAAGAAGAGUGUUUAUUGAAGGUGUAGAGAUAGAACGAGCUGAUAAAGGGCCACUAGUAUCUCGCUACUAAGAGAGGUCAGAACCUGUAAAUAAUCUGGGGGAGGAGGUGGGAAAUGACAGUUUUUAUGUAAAAAAGUGAUUGACAUAGUCACAAGGAGAGUGAAGAGAACAGGUGGGAGUUAGCUGAGGGCAUUCAUGUGCAUGUAGACAUUGAUUUUCAAACUCUGGUCAAAACAUACACCUCCUGUCGGCUAAGAAAUAAAAACCAUAGUCACAAAACUAUCAACCACAGGGAGAUGAGACAGGAGGGACAUAGGAGUGAUGUCAUGAGGGCCUUGUAUAAUUUGCUAAAAAUCUGGAAAUAUUACUGAAGAAAUUUACACAUAAGGAGUGACCUUAGUUAGCAGAUUUGCCCUUUAAAAGAUAUUCCUAGUGGAAAUUUUUUAAAAAUGUGUAUUAGGAUGCACGAAAAAAGGCAAGGACAAAAUGUACACAGCUUCUGUGGUAAUACAAGUAAUAAUUACUGAUGGCCUGAACCUGAGGAUGUCAGGGUAGAGAAGUGACAAAUUAAAAAGACCCAAACGAGUACAGAGACUAGGACCUGAUGUCCAAGAUUGAUGGGGGAGCGGGCUAGGGGAGGGAACAGAGGAUAGUUUGACCAAUGGAGUACACAGUGAUGCUUUGCAUUGUGGUAGAAUGUGUAGAGAGCAGCAAGAUUUGAGAAGAUACUAAGUUCGUUUUGGACAUGUGUUUGAGAAACCAUUUAGGCAUUCAUUUGGAGAGAUUCAGUAGAGAGCUGUAGUUUUGAAUCUGGACUCCAAAAGAGAAGGUACAGACUGUAAAUAGGGACUAGAAGCCACAUUUAGGUAGUGGAUGGAACCAUGAAACUUGAUGAGAGAGAAUGUGUAUUGAGAGAGUGUGUGCAAAUUGAGAAAAUGAAAGUAGCCAGUGUUUCUGGACAGCACAGUUCAACCAUAAUAAAGAGCUGUGUGGAAGAAUAGGAAUCUUUUAAAAAGAAUAAGUAAGAAUGGCCAAAGAGGAAGAAAUAAAAGCAGAAGUGCUUGUAGUUAUGGACGUCUCAAGGAGGGAAUGAUCUAUAGUAUCAAAUGAAACAAGGAAGGAAGACAUCACAUGGAAUAAAAUAUCAUUGGAUUUUGAACAAAAAAUUAUUUUUGACCCUGGAAAGGGAGUUUCAGGGAAUUUCUGAGGGCAGUGGAAGGAGGGAUUAAUGGGAGGUAAAGAAUUGAGAUGACAAAUGGAAUCUACCGUUUUUUAGAAGAUAAUCAAUGGAGGAAAGAAUAAAGACGUGGCAUUGACUAGAGAGGAAGACUUCCCAGAUCCUUCUUUCAUGAGCUCUAGUGGUACCUGAGCACAGCAACAUUUUAACACUUAACCAUCUUGCCCUGCAAUUGAUGACUUAGCUGGUUUCCUCUGAGGGAAAGAUUAUUGAAGGCAAGGAGUGUAUUUUAUCUGGUUAUGACUCUUAAGCCCAUCUGAUGCUUUGUAAGUGGUCACUAAGUAAGUCAUGAAUGAGGAGGAUGUGGAACUGAGGGAUAACUUUUCAACAACUGAAAGGAAAUAAUCAAUAGAGAGAAAGAGGCUUAAGAGAAAGUUAAGAAGAAGUAACUGACAGAGCAGGGAUCCUUAUUUGCCUGUAGGUUGGGGUCCAAAGCAUAGUUGGAAGCUUUUAUUUUUGCACAAAGAAAAGACUUUUUUUCCCCUCUGAAAUGGAAAUGAGGUGAGGAUAGAUUCAUAUGUGAAUCAAAUGUGUAGAUGUGGGGUCAGGAAGCUGAGGAAAUUCAUUCUGAGACCCUUGCUUUCUUUAGUGAUGUGGAAGCCAUUAAUUGGGUAGCUAAUAAAUGCCAGGCAUAAACAUUUCCAAAUAUUGAUUCAUUUGUGAAUCUGUAUUUAUAAAAGAGAUCUGUAUUUAGCAUUUUUUUAUAAUGUUUGUCAGAUUUUGCUGUCAGAAUUAUCCUUGAUUCAUGUAAUAGAUUUGAUUGCUUUCCAUGUUUUUUUUCCCCUAUGUUCUGGAACAAAUUAUGUAGAACUGAAUUUACUAGUUCCUUUAGAAUUUCAAACAAUUCACUAAUAGAACAAUCCCUGGAGAAUUUGGAGUAAUUUUUUGAAAAGUUUUCCAUUAUGCCAGUGGUUCUUAUUCAAUUCAGGUUAUACAUUUUUUUUUUUUUUUUGAGACGGAGUCUCGCUCUGUUGCCCGGGCUGGAGUGCAGUGGCGUGAUCUCGGCUCACUGCAAGCUCCGCCUCCUGGGUUCACGCCAUUCUCCUGCCUCAGCCUCCCGAGUAGCUGGGACUACAGGCGUCCACCACCACGCCCGGCUAAUUUUUGUAUUUUUAGUAGAGACGGGGUUUCACCGUGGUCUCGAUCUCCCGACCUCAUUAUAAAUAUUUAUUGCUAGUUUAUGUAUUUCAUGAACAUCUUCCUUUUCACAGUUUUACAUAUUUAUUAGCAUUACAUUGUCUUGCAUUGUAAUCUCUUAUACAUUUUAUUCUAUUUGCUGUCUCUACCCUUUCUCUUUCUAAUUCUAUUUAUUUGUCUUCUUUUCCUUAAUCAGAUUUUUAAGAAACCUUUCUAAUUUAAUUUUAUUGC